UGAGCAAUUUGCCCUUCUCUUUGGAAUAAGCGUUGGAAACGACGUCUAAUGCCGAAUACGACCUCCUUUCGCAUGAUCGGAGGUGGAAAGCUCCGGCGGAGAAGGAUGAGCUCGCGGCCUAUCAGCUAGUUGGUGAGGUAACGGCUCACCAAGGCAACGACGGGUAGCUGGU
This 172-nucleotide ribosomal RNA is filed under the name uncultured bacterium. Its description in RNAcentral is "partial 16S ribosomal RNA". It matches the Rfam family "Bacterial small subunit ribosomal RNA", at positions 118 to 291 of the family's 1533-position model. The record is from RNAcentral.